AAUAGAUACCCGGGUAGUCCACGCCGUAAACGAUGAGUGCUAAGUGUUAGGGGGUUUCCGCCCCUUAGUGCUGCGGCUAACGCAUUAAGCACUCCGCCUGGGGAGUACGGUCGCAAGACUGAAACUCAAAGGAAUUGACGGGGGCCCGCACAAGCGGUGGAGCAUGUGGUUUAAUUCGAAGCAACGCGAAGAACCUUACCAGGUCUUGACAUCCCGCUGACCGCUAUGGAGACAUAGCUUUCCCUUCGGGGACAGCGGUGACAGGUGGUGCAUGGUUGUCGUCAGCUCGUGUCGUGAGAUGUUGGGUUAAGUCCCGCAACGAGCGCAACCCUUGUCCUUAGUUGCCAUCAUUCAGUUGGGCACUCUAAGGAGACUGCCGUACAAAUACGGAGGCAGGUGGGGAUGACGUCAAAUCAUCAUGCCCCUUAUGACCUGGGCUACACACGUGCUACAAUGGACGGUACAAACGGUUGCGAAGUCGCGAGACGGAGCCAAUCCGGGAAAGCCGUUCUCAGUUCGGAUUGCAGGCUGC
This 532-nucleotide ribosomal RNA is filed under the name uncultured bacterium. RNAcentral's name for it is "bacterial SSU rRNA". It matches the Rfam family "Bacterial small subunit ribosomal RNA", at positions 777 to 1308 of the family's 1533-position model. The record is from RNAcentral.